This 990-nucleotide ribosomal RNA is filed under the name human gut metagenome. Its description in RNAcentral is "bacterial SSU rRNA". It matches the Rfam family "Bacterial small subunit ribosomal RNA", at positions 361 to 1354 of the family's 1533-position model. The record is from RNAcentral.
AUAUUGGUCAAUGGACGAGAGUCUGAACCAGCCAAGUCGCGUGAGGGAAGACUGCCCUAUGGGUUGUAAACCUCUUUUAUAAGGGAAGAAUAAGUUCUACGUGUAGAAUGAUGCCUGUACCUUAUGAAUAAGCAUCGGCUAACUCCGUGCCAGCAGCCGCGGUAAUACGGAGGAUGCGAGCGUUAUCCGGAUUUAUUGGGUUUAAAGGGUGCGUAGGCGGUUUAUUAAGUUAGUGGUUAAAUAUUUGAGCUAAACUCAAUUGUGCCAUUAAUACUGGUAAACUGGAGUACAGACGAGGUAGGCGGAAUAAGUUAAGUAGCGGUGAAAUGCAUAGAUAUAACUUAGAACUCCGAUAGCGAAGGCAGCUUACCAGACUGUAACUGACGCUGAUGCACGAGAGCGUGGGUAGCGAACAGGAUUAGAUACCCUGGUAGUCCACGCCGUAAACGAUGCUCACUGGUUCUGUGCGAUAUAUUGUACGGGAUUAAGCGAAAGUAUUAAGUGAGCCACCUGGGGAGUACGUCGGCAACGAUGAAACUCAAAGGAAUUGACGGGGGCCCGCACAAGCGGAGGAACAUGUGGUUUAAUUCGAUGAUACGCGAGGAACCUUACCUGGGUUUAAAUGGGAAAUGUCGUAUUUGGAAACAGAUAUUCUCUUCGGAGCGUUUUUCAAGGUGCUGCAUGGUUGUCGUCAGCUCGUGCCGUGAGGUGUCGGGUUAAGUCCCAUAACGAGCGCAACCCUUACCGUUAGUUGCUAGCAUGUAAUGAUGAGCACUCUAACGGGACUGCCACCGUAAGGUGAGAGGAAGGCGGGGAUGACGUCAAAUCAGCACGGCCCUUACACCCAGGGCUACACACGUGUUACAAUGGCCGGUACAGAGGGCCGCUACCAGGUGACUGGAUGCCAAUCUCAAAAGCCGGUCGUAGUUCGGAUUGGAGUCUGUAACCCGACUCCAUGAAGUUGGAUUCGCUAGUAAUCGCGCAUCAGCC